This 283-nucleotide long non-coding RNA is filed under the name Rattus norvegicus (Norway rat). Its description in RNAcentral is "long non-coding RNA NONRATT033474". The record is from RNAcentral. Lineage: Eukaryota; Metazoa; Chordata; Mammalia; Rodentia; Muridae.
UCUGAACUCGGAGAUGGUCACAUUUUAACACCCUGUUCCACACAGAAACUGAAGGAAAGUGACAGAAACAAGAGAGAUUGCAACAUGUGUAUGAAGACUUGCUUGUAUUGUGAUGAGAGUCCCAUUGGUACAUCCAAGGGAAGUAGUCAUAGGAGACCUGGGAGCACAGGAAACAAACAACAGAACAAGAGGAAGAAGGAAAAGGCAUGUGUACAUGUCACCAGAUCGUGAUGGGAUAUACACUGUGCGUCGGAAUCUCAGCCUCAUUAUAAUCCUGAAAGAC